UCAAUAUUUAUACCUUUACAAUCAUCAUCCUCAUGUGAUUCAUCCAAGCUAACUGUGGUUAUGAGUGCAACCGUCUUUUCAUCAAUCUCGCAUUCUGAUUCACUAUCACUCCAAGUAGUAUGCAUUGCCUUAUUCUUGCCAUCCCUUUGUUUCUUUAAGGUGUUGGCACAUUCCGAAGAUAUGUGUCCAUAGCCUUCACAUUCGAAACAUUGGACCUUUUCUCUUGGAUUCUUUAGUUCAUUUGACCUGCGAAAUUUAGACCCACCAUCAGUAUAGUUAACAAACCUAUUUUUAGAAUUUAUACCUUUUGAAUCUCGACUCCUUGGAUCCUGAUUCUUGAGAAAGUUCAUGAAUCGUCUUGUGAGAAU
This 368-nucleotide long non-coding RNA is filed under the name Prunus persica (peach). RNAcentral's name for it is "long non-coding RNA (PPER_LNC008716)". Lineage: Eukaryota; Viridiplantae; Streptophyta; Magnoliopsida; Rosales; Rosaceae. The record is from RNAcentral.